Molecule: unclassified non-coding RNA, 254 nt
Filed under: Hevea brasiliensis (rubber tree)
Lineage: Eukaryota; Viridiplantae; Streptophyta; Magnoliopsida; Malpighiales; Euphorbiaceae
Source: RNAcentral
AGCAAGAACAUCCGUAAUAUAUGCCAAUUUUAUUCGAACAGGAAGCACUGGUACCACAGAGAUCGGUUGAAUAUCCCCCAGUAGAGUUUCUUUGAGACCAAUCUAUGCAAGUCCCGUCACUGAUCCCCCACUCCAACACAACCGGAACAUAAUCCAAGACCCUAUAUCGAUCUAUCAAACUGGAUUGGAACCAUUCUUUGUCAACCAUAAAGGCAACCUUGCAUUCCUUAUGAUCCUGAGAAGCAGAGAUUCUU